This 295-nucleotide ribosomal RNA is filed under the name uncultured bacterium. RNAcentral describes it as "partial 16S ribosomal RNA". It matches the Rfam family "Bacterial small subunit ribosomal RNA", at positions 29 to 313 of the family's 1533-position model. The record is from RNAcentral.
AACGAACGCUGGCGGCGCGCCUAAUACAUGCAAGUCGAGCGAGAAGGCGUAGCAAUACGUUUGUAAAGCGGCGAACGGGUGAGGAAUACAUGGGUAACCUACCCUCGAGUGGGGAAUAACUAGCCGAAAGGUUAGCUAAUACCGCGUACGCUCCUUGGACUUCGGUUCAGGGAGGAAAGCGAUACCGCGGGUAUCGCGCUCUUGGAGUGGGCUCAUGUCCUAUCAGCUUGUUGGUGAGGUAACGGCUCACCAAGGCUUCGACGGUAGCUGGUCUGAGAGGACGAGUCAGCCACAC